GAUGAAGAACGUAGCGAAAUGCGAUAAGUAAUGCGAAUUGCAGAAUUCAGUGAAUCAUCGAAUCUUUGAACGCACAUUGCGCCCGCCAGUACUCUGGCGGGCAUGCCUGUCUGAGCGUCAUUUCAACCCUCGCCCCCGGCUUCUGUCGGGGACGGUGUUGGGGAUCGGCCUCCCGUCUUCCGGGUGGCCGGCCCCUAAAUUGAGUGGCGACCACGCCGUAACCUCCUCUGCGUAGUAGUUAAACACUCGCGGGCGGAGAGCGGUGCGGCCUGCCGUAAAACCCCCAACUCUUCUAAGGUUGACCUCAGAUCAGGUAGGAAUACCCGCUGAACUUAAGCAUAUCAUAAGCGGAGGA
This 355-nucleotide unclassified non-coding RNA is filed under the name soil metagenome. RNAcentral describes it as "partial contains 5.8S ribosomal RNA, internal transcribed spacer 2, and large subunit ribosomal RNA". The stretch from base 1 to 120 matches the Rfam family "5.8S ribosomal RNA", at positions 35 to 154 of the family's 154-position model. The record is from RNAcentral.